RNAcentral lists this long non-coding RNA (763 nucleotides) under Citrus maxima (pomelo). RNAcentral's name for it is "long non-coding RNA (CMAX_LNC000372)". The record is from RNAcentral. Lineage: Eukaryota; Viridiplantae; Streptophyta; Magnoliopsida; Sapindales; Rutaceae.
UUUUUCUGUCAUAUUGAUUUUUCUUUCGAUUUUUUUGUCUUGCCAUCAAUAGAUUCCAUGUCUUUCUGUAAAAGUUACAAGAAAACAGUUAAUAAAGAACACAAUUACUGUCCAUCACAUUUGUGUUUAGUGCGAUAGGUGUCUAUCGCACCAGAGCAUAGCCCAUAGGUGCAAUAGCCAUCAAUCGAUAAGCAUCUAAACAAAGGCACGCAUGAUGUCUAUCGCACCACAUGAAUUUAUACACCAACCCACACAAAACAACCACACUCGAACGACCAAAUCUAAUUUAUAUUCAUUAUAAACUUAUUAUUAAAAAAAAACACCGGUGCAACAUUUUUUCAAACAAAAAAAAGGCAACCUAGAACCUUAAAAGAAGAAACCCAAUAAUUUUUUGUGGCAUUUCAUCAACAUUGUGUGUGCAUUAUAUUUCUACACUAUAUCAUUAACAAAUCGUUUUCUCCAUAUACAAAUCUAAUAACUUUGAUAAUUAUAAGAUUAAGUUUAAAGCUGAGUAACCUUGAUGAGAAGAGCGAAAGUGAGAGUCGGGAGUAAGAGCAAGAGUGAGAGCAAGGUAGAGCGUGAGUGUGAGUUUGGACCAAGAGCAAGAGCAACAGUAAGAGUAGAAGCAUGAACGGGAGUGUGAGCAAGAGCAGGAGAGUGAGAAAGAGCAAGAGCAAGGCAAAGUGUGGGCGAUCGAGAGGGAGAGAGGAGGCUUUUGUUUUAUGACCCAAAGGGAGAGAGAAGACGAUUUUGUGGUUAUGAU